Molecule: long non-coding RNA, 1424 nt
Organism: Homo sapiens (human)
Lineage: Eukaryota; Metazoa; Chordata; Mammalia; Primates; Hominidae
Source: Ensembl
UUCCCACUGUACUGCCCUGGCCCUGGGCUCACCUGAGAUUGCUGGGGAAAAGAAAGGGUCAACCGGGAGGUUUAGACACGUGGAGAAGGAGUGUGCCUGGCUCUACCAGUUGGAACUGGGAUCAGAAGUGGAGCUGAGGAGGCUGGUCCAGGGAGAAUGCAGUGCUAAGAGGUCAGACCUAUACCCCACUUGGGAGGUGACCUCACAUGUCUGCCACCUUGCAAGCCCCUGCUCAGAGAUAUUACAUUACUGAGGCACACUAGGCUAAGGCUGACAACACCAAAUGCUGGCAGGAAUGUGGAGCAACAGGAACAGGAAUUCGUGGCUGAUGGGAAUGCAAAAUGGUACAGCUACUUUGGAAGAAAGUGUGGCAGUUUCCUAAAAAACUAAACAUACUCUUACCAUACGAUCCAGGAAUCAUGCUCCUUGGUAUCUACCCAAAGGAGAUGAAAACUUACGUCCACAUGAAAAUCUGCCGAUGGAUGUUUAUAGCAGCUGUAUUCAUCAUGGCCAAAUCUUGAAAGCAACCGAGAUGUCCUUCAGUAGGUAAAUAGAUAAAUAAACCAUGGCCAUCCUGAAAUGGAAUAUUAUUCAGUGCCAAAAAGAAAUGAACUACAAAGCCAUGAAAAGACAUGGAGGAACCUUAAAUUUACAUUACUAAGUGAAAGAAGCCAAUUUGAAAUGGCUACAUAUUGUACAAUUCCAACGACAUGACAUUCUGGAAAAGGAAAAUUAUGGAAACAGGAAAAAGAGCAGUUGUUGCCAGGGGUUAGGGAAGGGGGAUUGACUAGGCAGAGCAUAGAGGACUUUUACAGCAAUGAGACUAUAAUGGUGGAUACACAUCAUUAUAUAUUUGUCCAAACCCACAGAGUGUACAACACCAAAAGUGAACCCUAAUGUCAGCUAUGGACUUUGGGCGAUUAUGAUGUCAAUGUAGCUUCAUCACUUGUAACAAAUGUGCCAUUCUGGUGGAUGUGUGGGGACAGGGGGCAUACGGAAAAUCUCUAUAACUUUCCUCUCAGUUUUGCUCUGAAUCUAAAACUACCCUUUAAGAAGUCUUCUUUUAAAACAAUUUACAAAGCAUGAGGUGAUACAGAUGUGGGAGUUUGGCUCCUGUCUCUGCCCAACUCUGUGACAUUCGAUAAAUUACUUAACAUGUCUCUGUUUCAGUUUCCUCAUCUAUAACUGGGAAAAAUAACACCUGUCUUAUAGAGUUGCCAUGGGGAUGACAUGAGGCAUGUGUCUCGUUCAUAUCCCAUGCUCAGUGAAUUAGUAGCAGCAGCCACUGUGUGUUUGUGUGUCUUUAUCCCUCCUGGGUUAAUGAGCUCCUUGUGGGCAGGGACUCACCCAUUCUGUAACCACCCCAUCUAACACACUGCCUGGCACUUGGGCUCCGCAGAAGUUUGCCGAGUGAAUACUUAGUA